UCCUGCCUCCGAUAGCAACGAAAAGCCCGUAAGGGAAGCGCCCAUUAAAAAACAAAACCCAUAAAGCGACCAGCGGAAGCUUGUUUUGGGUUUCUGUUUUUAGGGCAAUGACUGCGGACUUGUAGUGUAUAGCGGAAAAUGGC
RNAcentral lists this unclassified non-coding RNA (143 nucleotides) under Flavobacterium xanthum. Its description in RNAcentral is "Flavo-1 RNA". Lineage: Bacteria; Pseudomonadati; Bacteroidota; Flavobacteriia; Flavobacteriales; Flavobacteriaceae. The record is from RNAcentral.